RNAcentral lists this long non-coding RNA (498 nucleotides) under Mytilus galloprovincialis (Mediterranean mussel). Lineage: Eukaryota; Metazoa; Mollusca; Bivalvia; Mytilida; Mytilidae. The record is from RNAcentral.
GUCUGGAGCUGGCAUGUCAGUUAACUGCUAGUAGUCUGUUGUUAUUUAUGUAUUAUUGUCAUUUUGUUUAUUUUCUUUGGUUACAUCUUCUGACAUCAGACUCGGACUUCUCUUGAACUGAAUUUUAAUGUGCGUAUUGUUAUGCGUUUACUUUUCUUCAUUGGUUAGAGGUAUAGGGGGAGGGUUGAGAUCUCACAAACAUGUUUAACCCCGCCGCAUUUUUGCGCCUGUCCCAAGUCAGGAGCCUCUGGCCUUUGUUAGUCUUGUAUUAUUUUAAUUUUAGUUUCUUGUGUACAAUUUGGAAAUUAGUAUGGCGUUCAUUAUCACUGGACUAGUAUACUGUAUAUUUGUUUAGGGGCCAGCUGAAGGACGACUCCGGGUGCGGGAAUUUCUCGCUACAUUGAAGACCUGUUGGUGACCCUCUGCUGUUGUUUUUUAUUUGGUCGGGUUGUUGUCUCUUUGACACAUUCCCCAUUUCCAUUCUCAAUUUUAAUUGAA